AGAGUUUGAUCCUGGCUCAGGACGAACGCUGGCGGCGUGCCUAAUACAUGCAAGUCGAACGCUUCUUUCCUCCCGAGUGCUUGCACUCAAUUGGAAAGAGGAGUGGCGGACGGGUGAGUAACACGUGGGUAACCUACCCAUCAGAGGGGGAUAACACUUGGAAACAGGUGCUAAUACCGCAUAACAGUUUAUGCCGCAUGGCAUAAGAGUGAAAGGCGCUUUCGGGUGUCGCUGAUGGAUGGACCCGCGGUGCAUUAGCUAGUUGGUGAGGUAACGGCUCACCAAGGCCACGAUGCAUAGCCGACCUGAGAGGGUGAUCGGCCACACUGGGACUGAGACACGGCCCAGACUCCUACGGGAGGCAGCAGUAGGGAAUCUUCGGCAAUGGACGAAAGUCUGACCGAGCAACGCCGCGUGAGUGAAGAAGGUUUUCGGAUCGUAAAACUCUGUUGUUAGAGAAGAACAAGGACGUUAGUAACUGAACGUCCCCUGACGGUAUCUAACCAGAAAG
This 511-nucleotide ribosomal RNA is filed under the name uncultured Enterococcus sp. Its description in RNAcentral is "bacterial SSU rRNA". It matches the Rfam family "Bacterial small subunit ribosomal RNA", at positions 8 to 490 of the family's 1533-position model. The record is from RNAcentral. Lineage: Bacteria; Bacillati; Bacillota; Bacilli; Lactobacillales; Enterococcaceae.